GCGGACGUUAGGUUCUAGUUAUUAUUAGAAAUAAAGCGUGGUAGCGCCAUACCCAAACAAUCGGCACGAAUAUAGUCUAAAACAACAAUUGAAAAUGAAUCGAGAACAUGUAAGCCAAAGGGGAGGGAGUGCCCAUGGUGAGCAAGGACACCCCCAACAUGAUUGCCUUUACGAAAGUCACCUCUCUUAAAGAGCUUCUGUGCCUCCUCGAUACAAGAAAGAUGUCGAAAAUCGUCAGGAGGAUCCCCAAGUAUAGCUGCAAUUAUUGCAGAUCUACCUUCUGAAAUCCCUUAUCCCAAGUAACCUGGAGACCAAAAAUCGCUCCUCACAGUUCAACUCAUGUAAUGGUACAUCUACCCAAAUUCGCAACAAAGCUAGCU
Molecule: long non-coding RNA, 380 nt
Filed under: Linum usitatissimum (flax)
Lineage: Eukaryota; Viridiplantae; Streptophyta; Magnoliopsida; Malpighiales; Linaceae
Description: long non-coding RNA (LUSI_LNC004689)
Source: RNAcentral